AGGACACAGUUGGCGAUCAUCCACUUCAACGAGAAUGCAGACCGUGUCCAGUUGGAGAGGGAAGGCGCGAAGCAGUACCGUCUCAAGGCAUUGAAGGUUAAGAAGACGUGGGUGCUGUACCUCUGAAGGAGAGUGCUAGCUAUGAUUAUGCAUCAGCCUUGAUUGCUGAGGUGCUGACACGCAUUCAGGAGCGCAGAAGGGAGUCUGGAGCUGUGGCAACUCUGCCAACGCGGUCAUCAACAUAUGGUGAGAGGCCAAGCCUUACAGAAGCAGUCGUGAAGCAUCAGGCAAGGUUCCAGAAAUGAGGCUCCCACCUGCAUCACACACUGAACGUUGAAACUAAGCUAAAAAAAGGCCCUUUUCAGGGCCACCACAAGGUUUAUGCAGAGACAAGCGUUGCGUUAUGAACCCACCAAAGUGCUCAUUAUUGUUUUUGGUCCAGCUGCAUACACUUUUCUGAAUUGUGUUGCUGAUUCAAAUGAACUGCUUUUUUUUUUAAUUCCUUCUGUGGCUAUUAAUAGCAUCUAAUGAACCAUAUGCGCACCUGUGUGACUUUUAUUGGAAUUCCAGUUACAAUUUCAGCGCACAGAGGACACACUAAGGAUUCAAGAAUAUGGUGGUAUCGGGCUCCGAUAUGCAUAUGAUGGUAAGUUUUUUUAUCUUUGUCUUAAAUUUGUGUUUUUACUUUUUUCAGCACAUCGAGCUCGCACUGCUCGUAUGGAAGAAAAGAACCUGUUACCAUCCUGUCAACAUGAACCAUAAUGCCAGCUCCCUACAUAGCAACUGAAAAUAUAGCAAGAAUGAGGAAAUAAAAUGUACUAAAUACAAUCAGUUCUUGUUCGAAAUGUUUAAUAUAUGUAUCAGGUUCAGAAAGCUUCCAUAUACACAAAACUGUGGCAAUACACACACCGGCAAUAACUCUACCCUCCAUUUAGAAAUAAAGCAUAAAUCCAGGCUAAAGGGAAAAAAAGCAUAGGUUUUUUUUUCUUUGUAAACAUAGGUAAAAAACAUCGUACAAAAGAAACCUCGCUAUGGUGAAGCUGGAUAGACUAUU
Ornithodoros turicata is the source of this 1054-nucleotide long non-coding RNA. RefSeq lists it as uncharacterized. The transcript is spliced from 3 exons. NCBI's taxonomy places the organism in Eukaryota, Metazoa, Arthropoda, Arachnida, Ixodida, Argasidae. The record is from RefSeq and is a predicted model, not a curated record.